RNAcentral lists this long non-coding RNA (3416 nucleotides) under Cucumis sativus (cucumber). RNAcentral's name for it is "long non-coding RNA (CSAT_LNC001081)". The record is from RNAcentral. Lineage: Eukaryota; Viridiplantae; Streptophyta; Magnoliopsida; Cucurbitales; Cucurbitaceae.
GCCGGUGCUGAUUCCGGUCAAGGAGCGGAAGAGGGCAUAGGUCCAGUAAUAUGGAGAUGCUGCUGUUAAGAACCCAAAUAUGGCGUUUAAUGAAGAAACUAAAGCGAGCGAGCGUUUUCUUCCCAAGGCAGAGUUUGAGAGGUAGCCGAACAAAGCAGAUCCUGAUGAUAUAUGAAGAAUAACUAAGUCAUAGGGAUUUCAAAAUAACUUUUUUUAAAAUCAUUAUUAAAUGGAAAUAAGAAAAAAAAAUUAAAACAUGUUUAGGAGUGAGAAAAUUUAUUAAUUUUUUUUGUCAGGUAUAAAGUCCCUCUAAAAUAUAUCAUUAAUCAUUUCAAAACUAGUUAGUAUUUGAUGAAGUGAUGUUUUGAAGUGACAUUGAAUUUUUUUUUUUAAAAGAAAGAAAUGAAAAAAAAUUCAAAAUCACUAUCUUUAUAAAUAUGAUACUGAGACAAUUUGAAUAUAUAGUUUAGUACACAAGAUACUAAAUGCCAUGUUAAAAGUUGCUGUUUCAUUUCUCACUCAACCUUUGUUGAACUAAAAGAAACUAAAAAAUUAAUAUGAGAGUGAGAGGAUUACCUAUCAUGCAGCCAAUAAAGAACAUGGACUGAGCCAACCCAACUUUAUACUUAUCACCACAAAUCAAACUCCACUCUGCCACCGUUGAGCUCCGGCGACCAUCAACCCAUUCCCAUGAUCCAGGUUUCAUCCCACAAACGCUCGUUGCAGCCGCAUUGCAGUCCGUUGGGUCGAUGCACUGCCAUCGAGGCUGGUGAUCAGCGAAGAUGACAAUCAUGGUGUGUAGAGCUUCUAAAGUCCAACCCAAAUUGGCCAGCACAAAGUUCUUCCAUUGCCAUGGCCCAAACUCACCGCAGUACUUUCCCAGCAUGUCGUCAAUUGUAAGCCUCUCUGUUGCGGCUGAUUCUACAAUGGGUUCGAUCGUAGGCAAUGGACGUUGGUAUUGUUCUUGAAGCUCAACUUGACUUGAUGUGGAUGUCAAUGUCAUUGUGUUGUGUGGCUUAGAGAGCUAUAAAAUUUUAAGAAGAGAAACUUUUUGUAAUAUCCAAACUAAAAUAAAUCUACACCACAAAUACAUACUCUUAUAACUAAAACUAAAAUAAUCUACACUUCAAAUACAAACUAUAUUAUAACUCAACUCACUACGGUAAUUUUAACCGUUGUUUUAAAUAUACAAACUAUAGUAUAACUCAAUUAUAAUAACUCACAUUUACUAUAAAUACAGUUAAAUAACAAAAUUGUUAGAGAGAUAUUUAUGAAUAAAGCAAAUCUAUUAGUUAUAGAGACUAAAAGGUAUUGUUAGAAAUCUACCAUCACUCAUCCAUAGUGUUGAUUGAUUUUGUUAUAUUUAAAAUCAACUUGAAAAGCGUUAGAUUUUAGGUUUGAAAAUCUGCCUACACUGCAAGACAAUUAAUUUUUUUCUACGUCUCUUUCGUCAGGAGAAAGUUAGUGUAGCAGAAGCUCUACCAAGAAGGAAAGAACAAUGCAACAUCUAACAAUCGAUGUUUGGUCAAAAAGGUCUUUGUGGUGAUUUAUUUUUCUCUCAUAAUUCAAACAAAGGGUACAAAAAUGUCAGGAACUUUGUGGCCGUUUCUUUGAAUAAUUUAGCUGUGUUAGUCAUCGGUAAAAAGGAAAUGAAACAGAUAAAAAAAAGAGGAGGGAUUCAUAUGAUUACCUUCAAACUCAAACACGAAGAGAAUAAUUUGAAGCUUGUGAGUUUUUUUUUUUUUUAAUUUCUCUUUGGUUCUAUGAAAUGAUUUUUUUUUUUUUUUGAUUAAAAUGGGAGUAUUGGAGUUUGAUAACAAUGGGAGUUGGUGAGUUUUUUCUUUUUUGUUUUCUUUGAGAAAGGAAGAAAGUAGAGAAGUGAAAGAUGGCAGUGAGAGUUUAUGAGUUGUUGGCAUUAGGGAGCUUCAAAGAGGCAGAUGGCAAUGCCAGACAUAAACAAACUCUCAAUUAAUUUGGAAACUUUUACAUUUUUCUAUUUUAUAACUCAUUUUCUUAACUUUGAUUUUUCCAAUUUUUCAAAUAUGAGGAAUUUGGUCAGGGUUGGUUAUAAAUAAGGUUACAAAAUACCAAUUUUUUUUUAAUUAAAAAAAAUACAUUACCCAUUUUGAAAUUUUAGCUUAUAAUAAUCCUAACCAAUUUUCAAAUUAAAAGUAGUGUUUUUUUUCUUUUAUUAUUGUUGGGUUAUUGGUACAACUUGACACAUAUUGUUACGGUUAUUCAAACUAUAAAGUUAACCAUAAAUUAUAAUAUUUUUAAGUGAACACAUUAGUCAAUUACGAUUCAUGAUUCUAUUUUGAAGUAAACACAUUGCAAUUGAGUUAAUUACAAUUGAUCUUUCAAUGAGAUUUUAUUAUAACUACAACAAUUUUCAUCACAAAUGGGUAAACAUGACCUUAGAUAGAUGUACUUUUACUCCAGUUGAGAGAAAGUAGAUUAAGCAGUUAAAGUAGGUCAAAUAUUAUUCACACUUAUUGGCAUAACAUUGAUAGAAGAAGAGGAAGAAGCAACAAUAUUGUUGGUAUUAUUAUUCUCACCAUCUUCCAAACCAGCCAAAGUAUCAUAGAACGGCCUAUUAAGAGUCUCAGGUAGAAGAAACAUAAGCAUUCCACCCAAAAUUCCACAAAUUGCAAACACCAAAAAUGGCCAUCUUCCCCCUAAAACCACCACAAAAGGUGCCAAUAUUGCUCCCAUUUGUGUGGCUUGUGAAGCACAUCCCAAAGCCACAUUCCUCACAACUGUUGGAAAAAGCUCAGCAACAUAUAAUCCCAACAAAUUGUAAUUCCCUGCCAUCCCUGAUAGCCCCAACAGCCCACAAACCAUUUUCAAUAUUCCCCACUUCCCUUCACUAUUACUACUACUACUACCAUUCUCGAUCAAACUUCCCAUCAAACAAAAUACCCCACUAAACCAUAAGGUCCAAAUCCCCACCCCUCUCCUCCCCAUCUUCCCCAACAACACCGUCGUGACCGCGAACGCAGGCAUCUCCACGACUGCGUUCAAAAGAACGUUAAUGUAAAGAUUUGUCUUUAGGUUGACGACGUUUAAGCUCAAUCCGUAAUACACCACUGCGUUCAUGAAAUUCACCCCCACUCCAACGAUAAGUCGUGUCCGAGCGGUGGGUGAGCGCAUUAUGUCAAUGAUGUUAUUGUUCUUGUUAUCAAUUGUUUGAUUGCUUUUUGUGUCGAGUGUGAGGACGACUCCUUUCGGAAUGUGCUUUUUGUUGGAGUUUGCUAUGGUGGUUAGAGUUUUCAUGGUCUUCUCGAGCUUUCCUCUCACAAGAAACCAUCUAGGGGACUCGGAGAGGAAGGGGACAACAACGAUGAGGUAAACGAGCGAGGGAAUUGAAGAGACAAUAUAGAGUUUGCGCCAUGAUUGGAAGAUGUAUGCGAUUCCGG